AGUGAACGCUGGCGGCAGGCCUAAUACAUGCAAGUCGAACGGCAGCACAGUGGAGCUUGCUCCAUGGGUGGCGAGUGGCGGACGGGUGAGGAAUACAUGGGAAUCUGCCCAGUCGUGGGGGAUAACGUAUGGAAACGUACGCUAAUACCGCAUGCGCCCUUCGGGGGAAAGUCGGGGACCGCAAGGCCUGACGCGAUUGGAUGAGCCCAUGUUCGAUUAGCUAGUUGGCGGGUAACGGCCCACCAAGGCGACGAUCGAUAGCUGGUCUGAGAGGAUGAUCAGCCACACUGGAACUGAGACACGGUCCAGACUCCUACGGGAGGCAGCAGUAGGGAAUAUUGGACAAUGGGCGCAAGCCUGAUCCAGCCAUGCCGCGUGAGUGAAGAAGGCCCUCGGGUUGUAAAGCUCUUUGUUGGGAAGAAAGCAGUUGGUUAAUACCCGAUUGUUCUGACGGUACCCAAGAAUAAGCACCGGCUAACUUCGUGCCAGCAGCC
RNAcentral lists this ribosomal RNA (494 nucleotides) under uncultured bacterium. RNAcentral's name for it is "bacterial SSU rRNA". It matches the Rfam family "Bacterial small subunit ribosomal RNA", at positions 29 to 516 of the family's 1533-position model. The record is from RNAcentral.